CCACUAUCAUGUAAUCAUGUUGGGCUGUUAUCAAUAUAUUAUCUUAUCACUAUAAUAUGAUAAUAUAAUCAUGGGAAUCAAAUUAUUCAAAAUUUAAACAUGCUUUACAUUUUUCUUGUGCUUCGACCACACUCGUAAUUUCUUUUGAUAUUUGUAUACUACCAUAAAUUGUAUACUAUUAAAAAUGAUUAACGGCAUAUCUUCACAAAAUAAUUCAUUAUACAUACCAGAUACAUUUGAAAAGUUAAUAAUUUUCUAAACUGGUUGAGUCGACUUCGUCUUGCAAACAUAUUUUAUUGUAGAAAUAUUAUUUUUGUCAUUUAAUUGUUAUGCUCACUGCUAAGAUUCUAAAAAACAUCAAUUGGCAAUUUUUGUCAUUUAAUUGUUAUGCUCACUGCCAAGUUUCUUUCUCAAUGGAUUUUAUAAAAAUAUCAACAAAUUCCUGUGUGUUGUCCUCUUAAUAUGAAAUCCAACAGCUCAACAAUUUGAAUUAUGGUUACCUAUACUUUAUUUAGUUUACUUUAUUAAGUAUUUACU
Acyrthosiphon pisum (pea aphid) is the source of this 537-nucleotide long non-coding RNA. RefSeq lists it as uncharacterized. Lineage: Eukaryota; Metazoa; Arthropoda; Insecta; Hemiptera; Aphididae. The record is from RefSeq and is a predicted model, not a curated record. The transcript is spliced from 3 exons.